RNAcentral lists this ribosomal RNA (163 nucleotides) under Dendrobium bellatulum. RNAcentral describes it as "5.8S ribosomal RNA". It matches the Rfam family "5.8S ribosomal RNA". Rfam says of the family: 5.8S ribosomal RNA (5.8S rRNA) is a component of the large subunit of the eukaryotic ribosome. It is transcribed by RNA polymerase I as part of the 45S precursor that also contains 18S and 28S rRNA. The record is from RNAcentral. Lineage: Eukaryota; Viridiplantae; Streptophyta; Magnoliopsida; Asparagales; Orchidaceae.
AUUGAAAUGACUCUCGGCAAUGGAUAUCUCGGCUCUUGCAUCGAUGAAGAGCGCAGCGAAAUGCGAUACGUGGUGCGAAUUGCAGAAUCCCGCGAACCAUCGAGUCUUUGAACGCAAGUUGCGCCCGAGGCCAACCGGCCAAGGGCACGUCUGCUUGGGCGUC